AGCAGUGGGGAAUUUUGGACAAUGGGGGCAACCCUGAUCCAGCCAUUCCGCGUGAGUGAAGAAGGCCUUCGGGUUGUAAAGCUCUUUCGGCAGGAACGAAACGGUGGAGGCGAAUAACCUUCAUCAAUGACGGUACCUGAAGAAGAAGCACCGGCUAACUACGUGCCAGCAGCCGCGGUAAUACGUAGGGUGCGAGCGUUAAUCGGAAUUACUGGGCGUAAAGCGUGCGCAGGUGGUUUCGUAAGACAGAUGUGAAAUCCCCGGGCUUAACCUGGGAACUGCGUUUGUGACUGCGAGACUCGAGUGCGGCAGAGGGGGGUGGAAUUCCACGUGUAGCAGUGAAAUGCGUAGAGAUGUGGAGGAACACCGAUGGCGAAGGCAGCCCCCUGGGUCGACACUGACGCUCAUGCACGAAAGCGUGGGUAGCAAACAGGAUUAGAUACCCUGGUAGUCCACGCCCUAAACGAUGCCAACUAGGUGUUGGAGAAGGAGACUUCUUUAGUACCGUAGCUAACGCGUGAAGU
This 524-nucleotide ribosomal RNA is filed under the name uncultured bacterium. RNAcentral describes it as "bacterial SSU rRNA". It matches the Rfam family "Bacterial small subunit ribosomal RNA", at positions 350 to 865 of the family's 1533-position model. The record is from RNAcentral.